RNAcentral lists this ribosomal RNA (309 nucleotides) under Triticum aestivum (bread wheat). RNAcentral describes it as "partial small subunit ribosomal RNA". The record is from RNAcentral. Lineage: Eukaryota; Viridiplantae; Streptophyta; Magnoliopsida; Poales; Poaceae.
AUGAAGAAGAAAAAAGCACAAACUUCAAAAGAAGAAGACAAAGUAGUCGCCGGGAGAUCCGGCCUGACUGCUCAGCAGUCGGCCCGAAUCUCGGGGCUACACCCAGCGGAUGCGCUGACGCGCCCCCACGAGAAAGAAGACGAAGUAGUUGCCGGGAGAUCCGGCCCGACUGCUCAGCAGUCAGCCCGAAUCUCGGGGGCUACACCCAGUGGGUGCGCUGACGCGCCCCCACAGAAGAUUGCAAGAAACGAAAACAAGAGAAGAGUUUUGUCCGGCUGCCAGCAGCCGGCAGAAGAAGAAAAAGGGUGA